UACAGAGGGUGCGAGCGUUGUUCGGAAUUAUUGGGCGUAAAGGGCGCGUAGGCGGUGUGUCAAGUCAGGCGUGAAAGCCCCGGGCUCAACCUGGGAACCGCGCUUGAGACUGGCACGCUAGAGUUCGGGAGAGGAUGGUGGAAUUCCCAGUGUAGAGGUGAAAUUCGUAGAUAUUGGGAAGAACACCGAUGGCGAAGGCAGCCAUCUGGACCGACACUGACGCUGAGGCGCGAAAGCGUGGGGAGCAAACAGGG
Molecule: ribosomal RNA, 254 nt
Filed under: uncultured bacterium
Lineage: Bacteria
Description: partial 16S ribosomal RNA
Rfam family: Bacterial small subunit ribosomal RNA
Source: RNAcentral